UCAGAUUGAACGCUGGCGGCAGGCCUAACACAUGCAAGUCGAGCGGAUGAAGGGAGCUUGCUCCUGGAUUCAGCGGCGGACGGGUGAGUAAUGCCUAGGAAUCUGCCUGGUAGUGGGGGAUAACGUCCGGAAACGGGCGCUAAUACCGCAUACGUCCUGAGGGAGAAAGUGGGGGAUCUUCGGACCUCACGCUAUCAGAUGAGCCUAGGUCGGAUUAGCUAGUUGGUGGGGUAAAGGCCUACCAAGGCGACGAUCCGUAACUGGUCUGAGAGGAUGAUCAGUCACACUGGAACUGAGACACGGGUCCCAGACUCCUACGGGAGGCAGCAGUGGGGAAUAUUGGACAAUGGGCGAAAGCCUGAUCCAGCCAUGCCGCGUGUGUGAAGAAGGUCUUCGGAUUGUAAAGCACUUUAAGUUGGGGAGGAAGGGCAGUAAGUUAAUACCUUGCUGUUUUGACGUUACCAACAGAAUAAGCACCGGCUAACUUCGUGCCAGCAGCCGCGGUAAUACGAAGGGUGCAAGCGUUAAUCGGAAUUACUGGGCGUAAAGCGCGCGUAGGUGGUUCAGCAAGUUGGAUGUGAAAUCCCCGGGCUCAACCUGGGAACUGCAUCCAAAACUACUGAGCUAGAGUACGGUAGAGGGUGGUGGAAUUUCCUGUGUAGCGGUGAAAUGCGUAGAUAUAGGAAGGAACACCAGUGGCGAAGGCGACCACCUGGACUGAUACUGACACUGAGGUGCGAAAGCGUGGGGAGCAAACAGGAUUAGAUACCCUGGUAGUCCACGCCGUAAACGAUGUCGACUAGCCGUUGGGAUCCUUGAGAUCUUAGUGGCGCAGCUAACGCGAUAAGUCGACCGCCUGGGGAGUACGGCCGCAAGGUUAAAACUCAAAUGAAUUGACGGGGGCCCGCACAAGCGGUGGAGC
RNAcentral lists this ribosomal RNA (922 nucleotides) under Pseudomonas aeruginosa. RNAcentral describes it as "bacterial SSU rRNA". It matches the Rfam family "Bacterial small subunit ribosomal RNA", at positions 24 to 938 of the family's 1533-position model. Lineage: Bacteria; Pseudomonadati; Pseudomonadota; Gammaproteobacteria; Pseudomonadales; Pseudomonadaceae. The record is from RNAcentral.